GGGUAGUUCAUGCAUGGAAUAGCCUUACAGCUGUAGUGAUAGAGGUUAACACAGUAAAGGGGUUUAAGCAUACGUGGGAUAGGCAUAUGGCUAUCCUAACUAUAAGAUAAUAUCAUCUAUAAUAUCUGUUAAUAUUAACAGAGCAAGAGAUCAGGAGUUCUAAAUGAAACCAAAUUUGCAAUAAGGGGAGUGUAAACAUUAGAAGACUCUUUACAGGAAGUGUUUAGGAAGACGGUGCAAGCUGCAUGCAGGUAGGUGUGGACUAGGGCUGCAUUAACAAAAUGAUUUAACUCCUAAAUGACAGAAUUGAGCAGUUCUACAGCACGGGUAUGAUCUAUAGAACAAAACCACUCAAUUAACCUAAAGCUGCUUCAGUGCUUAUAGUGUACCUUUAAGCAUCAUCGGUAGAAUUGCAAAGCUCAUGUUGCACUGAGUGUCAUACACCCACUCUAAGCUCUGAGAGUUGCUUAGUUCAGAGGGGCUAGGUAAGAGCUGCAGUUCUAUCAGUCAGGUAGCCAAUUAUGUCCAUUGGCAACUUGGUGAUGUGGAUGCCACACAGACAAUUGGGCUCGACUCUCUUCUCUCUCUGGAGACAGAGCUGAGUCAUGGAUAGUUGUAAAUCACAAAAACU
Non-coding RNA from Pelobates cultripes (western spadefoot toad), 631 nucleotides. NCBI's taxonomy places the organism in Eukaryota, Metazoa, Chordata, Amphibia, Anura, Pelobatidae. The record is from the annotation of a GenBank genome assembly.